This 64-nucleotide transfer RNA is filed under the name Platerodrilus sp. MNCN/DNA:86739. RNAcentral's name for it is "tRNA-Val". The record is from RNAcentral. Lineage: Eukaryota; Metazoa; Arthropoda; Insecta; Coleoptera; Lycidae.
CAAAUAGUAUCUUAAGUUAAAGUGUUUUAUUUACAUUAAAUUGUUCGUUGUUUACGUUAUUUGA